GAAAUGCGAUAAGUAAUGUGAAUUGCAGAAUUCAGUGAAUCAUCGAAUCUUUGAACGCACCUUGCGCUCCUUGGUAUUCCUUGGAACAUGCCUGUUUGAGUAUCAUGAAAUCUUCAAAGUAAAUCUUUUGUUAACUCAAUUGGUUUCUACUUUGGUAUUGGAGGUCUUUGCAGCUUCACACCUGCUCCUCUUUGUUCAUUAGCUGGAUCUCAGUGUUAUGCUUGGUUCCACUCGGCGUGAUAAGUUAUCUAUCGCUGAGGACACUGUAAAAGGUGGCCAAGGUAAAUGCAGAUGAACCGCUUCUAAUAGUCCAUUGACUUGGACAAUACUUUUAUGAUCUGAUCUCAAAUCAGGUAGGACUACCCGCUGAACUUAAGC
RNAcentral lists this unclassified non-coding RNA (378 nucleotides) under plant metagenome. Its description in RNAcentral is "partial contains 5.8S ribosomal RNA, internal transcribed spacer 2, and large subunit ribosomal RNA". The stretch from base 1 to 105 matches the Rfam family "5.8S ribosomal RNA", at positions 50 to 154 of the family's 154-position model. The record is from RNAcentral.